Molecule: non-coding RNA, 62 nt
Organism: Stegodyphus mimosarum
Lineage: Eukaryota; Metazoa; Arthropoda; Arachnida; Araneae; Eresidae
Source: Rfam
UUGAGAUAAAUGAUGCUGUGUUCUAAAACUUUAAAAGUGGAACAUGGCUGAUGCUUUCUCAA